This 78-nucleotide transfer RNA is filed under the name Candidatus Omnitrophota bacterium. Its description in RNAcentral is "tRNA-Glu". It matches the Rfam family "tRNA". Rfam says of the family: Transfer RNA (tRNA) molecules are approximately 80 nucleotides in length. Their secondary structure includes four short double-helical elements and three loops (D, anti-codon, and T loops). Further hydrogen bonds mediate the characteristic L-shaped molecular structure. tRNAs have two regions of fundamental functional importance: the anti-codon, which is responsible for specific mRNA codon recognition, and the 3' end, to which the tRNAs corresponding amino acid is attached (by aminoacyl-tRNA synthetases). tRNAs cope with the degeneracy of the genetic code in two manners: having more than one tRNA (with a specific anti-codon) for a particular amino acid; and 'wobble' base-pairing, i.e. permitting non-standard base-pairing at the 3rd anti-codon position. Lineage: Bacteria; Pseudomonadati; Candidatus Omnitrophota. The record is from RNAcentral.
GGCGCUAUCGUCUAGUCUGGCCUAGGACAUAAGCUUCUCAAGCUUAAGACUCGGGUUCGAAUCCCGAUAGCGCUACCA